Arabidopsis lyrata subsp. lyrata is the source of this 1506-nucleotide long non-coding RNA. RefSeq lists it as uncharacterized. The record is from RefSeq and is a predicted model, not a curated record. NCBI's taxonomy places the organism in Eukaryota, Viridiplantae, Streptophyta, Magnoliopsida, Brassicales, Brassicaceae. The transcript is spliced from 4 exons.
GGGUUUGUUAGUGUAUGUAUUCGUGAAUAUAUGUGCGUAUAUUCUUCUUCGUGAAGCCGCAAGAGAGAAAGGAAGUAGAAGAAAACUUGAGCAAGAAAACCCUAAGCCGAUAAGAGUGGGAUCGCAGCCACCGUUGUUAAGUUUUCCAAAGACUUUGUCCUGUUAUUGUUGUUGAUGUGAAUCUCGAGGAAAAGACGUGAGGUUUCACGUGGGAAACGUGAUGGAGGAGGUGGUGAUCUGUCACCCGAAAAUGAAGAAAAAGGGAGGCGAAGGAAAGUGGAGAGAAAGAGGAGAAGAGAGAGAGGCCACCGGAUCUAAACCGUAGAACCACCACAGCCACCGUUUAUCACCGCCGUGUGAAUCGUCUUCACCGGAAAGAUCUGUGCUACCUAGUCCUCCACUGCGCCGCUCAUCCCGCCAAGUCAAACUGUUGAACUUUUGAUGUGGUGUUCUCUUCACCACCUUAACUCUCAGUUUCUCCCUGUUUUGUUUUGAGAAACAAGAACACGUUUAUGAACUUUUAAUGUCUACAUUGAUAUUUCGGAUCAAAGGAUUCUUUUCUCAUCACACUUACAAGCAUACUUUACUUCUACUUACUACAUACACAUACACACACUUGCAUUUGGACCUUACUCCUAGUUCUAGACUCUCUUACACAAGCAAUGUUAAAUUACUAACCCUUACACAACAACAACUCUUAACCACUACACUUGACAACUCUAGUAAGUUAGUCCUUAACUAACACAACACACUUACUCAUUUGGGCCUAACAAAACAUUUAGCCCAAUCACUUAUUCUUACAAAAACAACACAAGCCCAACUUCUCUCUUCUUGUGUUGACUUUCCUCUUUGUCGUUGAGAUCUUUGUCGACAUCUUCUUCUCUUUGCUCUGUUCUCUUCUUCUUCUUCUUCUCACUAAAGCUUUCUCCUUUGUUGCAGAUUUAAUCAAGAACUCAAUCUCAACACAAACCGUCGAAGAAGUUGCAGAGAGCCCAAGAUUGUUGCUCAUGCGGGUUCAUGAUGUUUCUAGUGUUUAACCGAGAAAUCAAUUGGAUUGGCUAAGGUUGGUAAGUCAAGAGUUCGUUUUCCGUUGUUAAUUGACGGAUUUGCAUUUAAAGAUGAUUUGGGCCGGGCAAGAAAGUCAACACGUUGACCAGCUCCGUGUAGCGGGUUCGGGUCCUUUCACUUUCACUACGCCGCUUCAUCUCAGACGGCUGUACCUUGCCAGAGCUGCCAGAAAACUCCUCUUUCUCGGAAGUCGCAGCGGUCACGGGACUUGGAGAAAGAUAAAUGAUAUCAUCUUCUUCAUAUCCAGAACGUGUCUCCAAUGGCUUGAGAAGCUUAUUUGCCAUCAGAAUUUUCAAACUUCGAUUUUGGUUAUGUGUGUAAUGAAAGCGUGGGGUUUGUGUAAGGCAACUGCACGAAUUUAUAAAGAGCUUGUUGUUUGAUUGUAGAUAUAUAAUGGCCAUUUGCCACUAGUGUAUAUAUUGCUUACUUAUUUUUCCA